GACGAACGCUGGCGGCGUGCUUAACACAUGCCAGUCGAACGAAGAGCGAUGGAAGCUUGCUUCUAUCAAUCUUAGUGGCGAACGGGUGAGUAACGCGUAAUCAACCUGCCCUUCAGAGGGGGACAACAGUUGGAAACGACUGCUAAUACCGCAUACGAUCUAACCUCGGCAUCGAGGAUAGAUGAAAGGUGGCCUCUACAUGUAAGCUAUCACUGAAGGAGGGGAUUGCGUCUGAUUAGCUAGUUGGAGGGGUAACGGCCCACCAAGGCGAUGAUCAGUAGCCGGUCUGAGAGGAUGAAAGGCCACAUUGGGACUGAGACACGGCCCAGACUCCUACGGGAGGCAGCAGUGGGGAAUCUUCCGCAAUGGACGAAAGUCUGACGGAGCAACGCCGCGUGAGUGAUGACGGCCUUCGGGUUGUAAAGCUCUGUUAAUCGGGACGAAAGGCCUUCUUGCGAAUAGUUAGAAGGAUUGACGGUACCGGAAUAGAAAGCCACGGCUAACUACGUG
This 510-nucleotide ribosomal RNA is filed under the name uncultured bacterium. RNAcentral describes it as "partial 16S ribosomal RNA". It matches the Rfam family "Bacterial small subunit ribosomal RNA", at positions 28 to 507 of the family's 1533-position model. The record is from RNAcentral.